Molecule: unclassified non-coding RNA, 377 nt
Filed under: Hevea brasiliensis (rubber tree)
Lineage: Eukaryota; Viridiplantae; Streptophyta; Magnoliopsida; Malpighiales; Euphorbiaceae
Source: RNAcentral
GAUCAUGAGGGUUCUUGUGGACUGCUGUUUACAAGAGAAAGUGUUUAAUAAGUACUACGCUGUUCUAGCUUCCAAAUUGUGUGAGCAUGAAAAAAACCACAAGUUUACAUUACAAUAUUGCCUGUGGGAUCAAUUCAAAGAACUGGAUACGAUGCAGCUUAUCAGGUCGAUGAAUCUUGCCAAGUUCGUUGCUGAGAUGAUCGCCUCUUUUACUCUCUCACUUGCAGUUUUGAAAUCUGUAGAUUUGAGUGAUGUCAGGCUGCUUACUCCAAAGAGGAUCAUGCAUUUCCGUAUGUUGUUCGAUGCGAUUUUUGAACGUCCCGACAAGUUGAUAUGGAAUGUGUUCACUCGAGUUGCUGUUAACCCUGAGCUCGAAC